This 2842-nucleotide ribosomal RNA is filed under the name Sclerotinia borealis. Its description in RNAcentral is "LSU rRNA". It matches the Rfam family "Bacterial large subunit ribosomal RNA". The record is from RNAcentral. Lineage: Eukaryota; Fungi; Ascomycota; Leotiomycetes; Helotiales; Sclerotiniaceae.
GUAGCACAUGUACUCUUAGAGAAAUUCAAUAAUAAACGAAGUGAAUUGAAAUAUCUUAGUAACUUCAGGAAAAGAAAUCAAACGAGAUUCUAUGAUUAGUGUGAAUGAAAGUAGAACAGCCUUAUAUUAAAUAAGUAAAACGGGCAAUAACCUGUUUGAACACAAGGGGAACCUUCCUCUAAGGCUAAAUAUAAUACAUAAGCGAUAGCGUAAAGUACUGUGAAGGAAAGGUUGAAAUAGUAGUUUUAUAAGCAGCUCAAGUUUAAAUAAACAGUAAGAGCGUACCUUUUGCAUAAUGGGUCAGCAAGUUAAUAUUAGAUGCGAGCAGUAAUGCCUAGAUAAACCAAUUAUGAAAUAAUGAAUUAGUAUCUAAAAUUAGACCCGAAGCCUAGUGAUCUUACCAUGGUCAGGGUUAUAAAAGCCCGAACGGUUUAUCGUUGUAAAGAUAUCCGAUGAACUGUGGUAAGUUAGUGAAAGACAAAACUGACUAGGAUAGCUGGUUUUCUGCGAAACCUAUAUAAGUAGGUAAUUCAAGUUACAUCAUAGCAGGUACAGAACUGUGAUCUCAGGCAACUUAUAAAUUUUUAUCUAGGCAUUGCCUAGAUAAAUAUUAAUUUUGCAUAUAUCGGGGAAUCGUGAGGAUUUUAUCGGUGAGUAUUCGCACUCGGAAGGGCAAUGAUGAAUUAUUGAAUAAUCGGACAUAGUACGAUAAGGUUGUAUGUUCUAAAGGGAAACAGCCCAGAACAAGAGUUAAGGUUCCAAAAUUAUUGUUAAGUGAAACUAAGGAAGUUUCUAUCUAAUACAACUAGGAAAUAGGCUUAGAAGCGGCUAUUUUUUGAAGACCUCGUAACAGAGCACUGGUUUAGUAAACAAAACUUUAUAUUGAUAGUUGCACCGAAAAUUUAACGGAUCUAAACAAUAUACCGACACUUUGUCCAUAAUGUUAAAUAUAACAUAGAAUUUAACUAUGGGGUAGCAGAACGUUGGGUAUAUCUUAGAUAUAUUCUUUUUAAGAAUAUGUAAAUAACACGGUCACGCGUUUAGAUAUCCCAAGUGAGAAUGCUGACAUGAGUAACGAAAAAGGGAUAUCCCUCGCCUAAAGCUUAUGGAUUUAUUAAAGUAACGGCCUCUAAGUUUACUAACCUAAAGGAUUAAACGAUGAGUAAACCUUACCUACAAAGUAACAACAUCUUCUAGGCUAAAUAAACCGUACCUAAAUACUACCACAAGUAAGCAAGUAGAGAAUACGAAGGCGUUUGAGUGAACAAUCAUUAAGGAACUCGGCAAACUAACUACCGUAACUUCGGGAUAAGGAGAGCCAUUCUUACUUAUUAGUAUAAGGUAAAGAAUAGGAAGCAUGGAAUAGUGUUGUGCGACUGUUUAAUUAAAACAAAGCACUUUGCAAUAAGAUAAUAAAUCAAAGUAUUGAGUGUGAUUUCUGCCCAAUGUCGGCUGGUUAACGGAUUUUUUAGGUUGACUAAUAUAAGCUUGGAUUUGAAGGAAACCCCGAUCAAUGGCGGCCUUACCUAUGAGGGUCCUAAGGUAGCGGAAUACCCUGGCCGUUAAAUGCGGUCUUGCAUGAAUGAUUUAACGAUGCAACAGCUGUCUCAAUGAUUGGCUCAGUGAAAUUGGAAUAACUGUGCAGAUACAGUUUACCUCUAGAUAGACGAGAAGACCCUAUGCAGCUUUACUGUUGCUAGUUAUUGAAUAUGAUUGAACCAAUAUUAGUGUAUAAGGUAGUUGGAGGCAAUUUUUUAAACCUCGUUCAGGCAAAAUUGAAACACCUUUAUUUUGUUUAUCAUAUUCGUAGGCUAUAGAGUCUACGUCAUAAUAUAAGGUGCGCCGUUGCAGAGGCGUUACUAAGUAUUAUAAUUAACCCAUCAAAUGGGAACAAUGGCUAGGAGGCAGUUUAUGCGGGGCACAGAUCCCAUAAAAAGUACCUGGGUGUAUCCAAAGUUAAUAUUGUAAAAUUGUCAUGACUUACUUAUGACAAUUAAACAUACAAUUGCCCCCCCCCCUACGAAGUAGGGGGGGGGGUAAUUGUAUGUUUUUAUUUUUAGUUUGUUAUUGGUUUAGCUUAAGCUAUAACUAAUCCAACUAUAUAUCUAUUAAGUUAGAAUUAAUAUUUUAAUUUAAGUAAGAUUUUAACUAUAUGGGAAAUAGAUGUAAUUAAAACAUUAAUUUGAAAGUACUUUUCUUUUCUAAUGUUUUUAGUUAUAUAAUUAGUUUAAGUUACACUUUUUAUAUAAUUAUGUUUAUUACUUGUCAAGUUUAAUGGCUUAAUCUUGCUUUACUGUUUGACUUACACGUCUAUCAGUCGCGUAAGCGGGGCAUAUGAUCACAAGAUGCAGAAAGGAAAGGUCUUGGAUUUUUGAAAAAGCUACGCUAGGGAUAACAGGCUAAUUGCGCCAGAGAGUACAAAUUGAGUGCGCAGUUUGGCACCUCGAUGUGUCGGCUUAACUUAUCCACAUGAAUGCAGGAAUCAUGAAGGGUUCGACUGUUCGUCGAUUAAAAAGUUACACGAGCUGGGUUAAAUACGUCGUGAGACAGUAUGGUUUCUAUCUUCUAGAGGAAAUUAGAAUAAAAUAAGGACAGCCCCCUCGUACGAAAGGAGCUGGGUAUAUUAACCUAUGGUUUACCUGUUGUUUAUGUGCCCAAUAUAUUCUCAAUAUACUAAUAUAGAUGAGCGAAUAGGGAUGUUACUUUCACUUAAGUAAAUAUUUUGAAACCUAGCAUAGGCACGGCAGGAACGCUAAGUUAGUUAGAGAUAAGUGCUGAAUGCAUCUAGGCACGAAACUUACCUUAAGAUAUUCUUAAAUAUACGUAGUUGAACACUACGAUU